UUAACAACAAGAGAAGUGCUCAUUUAGACAAAUUUUAGUUAUUUUGCAAUUGAUAGUGUGGUGACUUUCAAAAUUGAACAUGAAAGGGUUGAAGAUAACCAUGUUGUAAAUCAGUAUUCGAGAUGAUGCCGGCAAUCCGUGCCAGAGACAUGAGACUCAAGGCUCUAAAAUAUACCAGUGAACAGCACUGGUGUCACUGGAACUAACUUUUCUGUGGAACUAAAAUUGACAUUGGACUGAACUGACGUCAGUAUUGAUCAAGAAGCAAAGAAC
This is a long non-coding RNA of Ctenocephalides felis (cat flea), 273 nucleotides long. RefSeq lists it as uncharacterized. The transcript has 3 exons. The record is from RefSeq and is a predicted model, not a curated record. Lineage: Eukaryota; Metazoa; Arthropoda; Insecta; Siphonaptera; Pulicidae.